UGAGCAGGCGGAUCCAUCGUGUGCCCGGCAUGGACUUGGUGCUCACCACGCGGUACUUGCCGCUGGGGUUCCACACCUGGAUGGAGACGGGCUUCGCCAUGGCUGCACCUGCAGAGAGGUUCUCUCUCUCUCUCUCUCUCUCUCUCUCUCUCUCUCUCUCUCUCUCUCUCUCUCUCUCUCUCUCUCUCUCUCUCUCUCUCUCUCUCUCUCUCUCUCUCUCUCUCUCUCUCUCUCUCUCUCUCUCUCUCUCUCUCUCUCUCUCUCUCUCUCUCGCCGGCCUUAUCAGGGGGCGGGCAGACAGGCGCCAGAAAUUUCAUUUUCGUUUUCUCCUCCUUUUAAGAUAGGAAGGGUGGUGGAUAACAGACAAGUGGCCGGCCUUAUCAGCAUUUCCCUUAUCUCCUUGACAACCACGAGUAGACCGUUGGCACAACAACCAGCCAUGGAGGCAAAUCAUCAUAAGAUCCACUUUUAUAUAUGUAUUAUGAGAUAUUAACUAGUAACAAGUCCAGACAGACGAACUAGCACCCACCAGCUUGACAUACAUCCAAUCCAAAAAAGGAUACAACCAUCACGACCAUUAUACUACUAUUUCACUACUAUUUCGUAAGUAGAUAGACUAGCAUUGUAGAGUGCAGUGCAGACAUCCAUCUGUUCUUGUAAAAGAACCACCACCAUCACCAGGGAAAGGAAGACAACAAUCACUCGAAGGCCCACUGGUUCUCCAUGCGGAUCUCAUCCUCCUCCUCUUGGGUGAAGUCGUUCUUGAUGCUGAAUGUCUUGCGGAUCUCCUCCGGAGUCUUGCCCUUGAUCAUGUCAGCAACCGUCUGGCAGGUCAGGUCCAGCAAUCCCUUGAUGUUCAGAUAGUUGGCAGCCUGAAAAUACAGUUCCAUUAUGUCAACCAGCAAUGGCAGAAAAUAACACAAAUCACGUCCAAUUACAUGUGGAUUGAAGUGUAUUGGAAUGAAUUUGGAUGGAUUUAAACCGACUCAAUACCACCCAAUCCACGUGGCGGUCAAACGAACAAUCCCCAAAGUGUGCAAAAGUCGCAAGUACAAGCCAAAUUCUGUCUGACUAGCUAGUUAAAUUAUCUCACUGCAAACCAAAUAUCAUCCCCGCCUGUAGCUAGCUUGAUACGGGUGCAUUGUUGUUACGAAUAAUAGCAACAGCAUGAUUUAUCAACAGUGUUCCUAGCCACAUCACAGUUUUUGUGGUUGAUUGAUUCCAGAGCAGCAGGGGCUAGUACAACAUCUCUUAUGAGAUAAAAAAAAUUGAUUGGUUACGGACCUCCACCACGACGCACAACCAAUCAAUCAAUAUAUACUGAUCUAAUCCGAACCCUAGAAAGACAGUAGCAGAUCUAAUCUAACCUAUACAUAGACAGGAAUCGCAAAAGAAGCAAGGGGAGGGGAGGUUACCGACCAGGAUGAGGUCGAAGAGCGUAGCCUGGUCCACCUUGACGAACUUCGCGUCCCAGCUCUUGAGGUCCUCGCCGCCCUCGGAGGCAGCGGAGUCAGCGGGUUUGGCGGCGGCGUGGACGUGACUGUUGCAGUACUCGAUGACCUUAGAGAGGAUCCUGGAGUUGACGUUGGGGAGCGGGAUGCCGUUGUCGGCGCAGUCGUCCUCGAUCAUGUGGCGGAGAGUCUGCGACUCCAUGGCCACCGCUUCCUCCACCUCGAACUCCUCUAAGUCGGAGCUCCUGAGCGUGAUCAUCCUCUUGUUUUCGCCCUCGGACGCCAUCGAUGGAUCGACGAGAGAUGAGGCGACGAAACCCUAGCUAGUUGCAGCGAUUUGAUCUGUGAUGGUCGAUUGCGAGGGAAACGCCUCUCCUGACUACUUUUCCUUCGAUUCGCCUGCCCUGCCCUCUUUAGUUUGGCCUCAUAAGUUAUUUAUGAAAGGUAGCCGGCAAUGAACAGAUUUAGAGGUGUUUGAAUGCACUAGAGCUAAUAGUUAGUCGCUAAAAUUAGUUAAGACAUCCAAACACUCUAGCUAAUAGUUUAGCUAUUAGCUAUUUUUGAUAAAUUAAUUAAUAGUUAGAUAGUUAUUUGUUAGCUAUCUAAUUCUACUAACAAUUUUUAGUCAACUAACUAUUAGUUCUAGUACAUUCAAACACUCCAAAUCUAAAAUAAAUUAUAUUUUAAGAUGGUGUGAGUAUUAUAUUAAUUAUCUUAUAUAAUAAUAAUUAUAAUAACCAAAUUAUCCUGCACCUAUGAUUAUAUAUAUAGUUAUUAUUAUUCAUUAUAAUUUGUUUUUUAGAAUAAUAUUUAUUUUAGGAUAUUAGUAUAUGCAUUCUAGAUUCAUUGUUAUCCAUUUAAAUAUGGACAUAAAAAUAAAAGCUAGAACGGACUAAGUAUAUUUUAUCGUGGUGUAGGAAUCCUCAGUAAUAACACUUAGACAGUCAGUAGUUUACUCAUAGUUUAAUUAAAACAUUAUUUAUAGAUUACACUAUUCGUAGAGUUUAAUAGUAGAGUUUAAAUGUAGAGUAGAGUUUAAUAGUUUACUUAAAACACUAUUUAUAUACUUUUCUGCACUAUAAACUACACUAUUGUAGAGUUAAAUAUAAGUAGGAUGGGUAAGCUACUAAAGAUAGUCUUGGGUACAAACAAUUCUCAUGCUGCCGAUUCUUGCACUUUAUUUUUUUCUGUUUAUAGGGCCAAAUUUUGUUAUUCUCUCCAUAAGAAAAAACUGUGGCCAUGACCAGAUGAGCUAUCCGCGACUAGUAGUAUAUAGCAUACACUCCCUUUUGUGUAUCCUGCUACUGCCAGUGCUCAAAGAAAAAAAACAAAUGGUACACCGGGACACAUUUAUUAAUGGUCAGUCAUCACAGAUGUAGAUGUUCUUGUUACAGAUAACAAUUCUGGAACAAAAAAUCCCUUUUAUUUACAUGUACUGAAACAAACGGGGGUUCUUGUUGGCGCACAUCCUCACUCAAGGCGCACAUCCUCAAUUACUAUAGCUUAGCCUGCCCAAUGGAAACAGAUCAUGGUAGAGAAACCAAAAUCUGUUAAACUUCCUCGAUGACAAAAGCUGUAGAUUCAUAAUUGCAGGUGACAAGGGCAACCCUCGAAGAGAAUACAGUAGCUGAACAAAUGUAAAAGAAGGGAGAAAUCGACAGCAGCACCUGCAUCCGAGUGAGGACUGGGGCUCUCGCCCUUGAAGCCGUUUGCUGAGUGAGCUGGUAACCUCAACUCAGUGU
Molecule: long non-coding RNA, 3193 nt
Filed under: Zea mays
Lineage: Eukaryota; Viridiplantae; Streptophyta; Magnoliopsida; Poales; Poaceae
Description: long non-coding RNA (ZMAY_LNC003072)
Source: RNAcentral